This 156-nucleotide ribosomal RNA is filed under the name Taibaiella chishuiensis. The record is from RNAcentral. Lineage: Bacteria; Pseudomonadati; Bacteroidota; Chitinophagia; Chitinophagales; Chitinophagaceae.
UAUGGUGGUAUUGCCAAGGGUGUUCACCUCUUCCCAUUCCGAACAGAGAAGUUAAGCCCCUUAUGGCCGAUGGUACUGGUUAACUCCGGGAGAGUAGGUAGCCGCCAUAUUUAUUGAAGCCCUUCGACGAAAGUCGAGGGGCUUUUUUUUGUGCCU